UGGGGAAUAUUGCACAAUGGGGGAAACCCUGAUGCAGCGACGCCGCGUGAAGGAAGAAGUAUUUCGGUAUGUAAACUUCUAUCAGCAGGGAAGAAAAUGACGGUACCUGACUAAGAAGCCCCGGCUAACUACGUGCCAGCAGCCGCGGUAAUACGUAGGGGGCAAGCGUUAUCCGGAUUUACUGGGUGUAAAGGGAGCGUAGGCGGUCAGACAAGUCAGAAGUGAAAGCCCGGGGCUCAACUCCGGGACUGCUUUUGAAACUGCCUGACUAGAUUGCAGGAGAGGUAAGUGGAAUUCCUAGUGUAGCGGUGAAAUGCGUAGAUAUUAGGAGGAACACCAGUGGCGAAGGCGGCUUACUGGACUGUAAAUGACGCUGAGGCUCGAAAGCGUGGGGAGCAAACA
Molecule: ribosomal RNA, 402 nt
Filed under: uncultured bacterium
Lineage: Bacteria
Description: bacterial SSU rRNA
Rfam family: Bacterial small subunit ribosomal RNA
Source: RNAcentral